UACGUAGGGUGCAAGCGUUGUCCGGAAUUAUUGGGCGUAAAGAGCGUGUAGGCGGCCCGAUUAGUCCGCUGUGAAAGUCCAGGGCUCAACCCUGGAAUGCCGGUGGAAACUGUCGGGCUAGAGUCCGGAAGGGGCGAGUGGAAUUCCUGGUGUAGCGGUGAAAUGCGCAGAUAUCAGGAGGAACACCAAUGGCGAAGGCAGCUCGCUGGGACGUGGCUGACGCUGAGACGCGAAAGCGUGGGGAGCAAACAGG
Molecule: ribosomal RNA, 253 nt
Filed under: uncultured bacterium
Lineage: Bacteria
Description: partial 16S ribosomal RNA
Rfam family: Bacterial small subunit ribosomal RNA
Source: RNAcentral